GUGUAACAACUCACCUGCCGAAUGAACUAGCCCUGAAAAUGGAUGGCGCUGAAGCGGGCGACUUAUACUCGGCCAUUGGGGCAAGUGCGAGGCCCCAAUGAGUAGGAGGGCGCGUGGGUGGUUGUGCAGCCGAGGGCGUGAGCCCGGGUGAAACCUCCCAUGGUGCAGAUCUUGGUGGUAGUAGC
RNAcentral lists this ribosomal RNA (185 nucleotides) under uncultured eukaryote. RNAcentral describes it as "partial 28S ribosomal RNA". It matches the Rfam family "Eukaryotic large subunit ribosomal RNA", at positions 1280 to 1464 of the family's 3401-position model. The record is from RNAcentral.